This 449-nucleotide ribosomal RNA is filed under the name uncultured bacterium. RNAcentral's name for it is "bacterial SSU rRNA". It matches the Rfam family "Bacterial small subunit ribosomal RNA", at positions 29 to 524 of the family's 1533-position model. The record is from RNAcentral.
AACGAACGCUGGCGGCAUGCCUAACACAUGCAAGUCGAACGAAGUCUUCGGACUUAGUGGCGCACGGGUGCGUAACGCGUGGGAAUCUGCCCUUGGGUGCGGAAUAACUUCUCGAAAGGGAUGCUAAUACCGCAUAAUGUCGUAAGACCAAAGAUUUAUCGCCCAAGGAUGAGCCCGCGUAAGAUUAGCUAGUUGGUGGGGUAAAAGCCUACCAAGGCGACGAUCUUUAGCUGGUCUGAGAGGAUGAUCAGCCACACUGGGACUGAGACACGGCCCAGACUCCUACGGGAGGCAGCAGUGGGGAAUAUUGGACAAUGGCGAAAGCCUGAUCCAGCAAUGCCGCGUGAGUGAUGAAGGCCCUAGGGUUGUAAAGCUCUUUUACCAGGGAUGAUAAUGACAGUACCUGGAGAAUAAGCUCCGGCUAACUCCGUGCCAGCAGCCGCGGUAAU